Molecule: transfer RNA, 104 nt
Filed under: Aspergillus clavatus NRRL 1
Lineage: Eukaryota; Fungi; Ascomycota; Eurotiomycetes; Eurotiales; Aspergillaceae
Description: tRNA ACLA_009330
Rfam family: tRNA
About the family: Transfer RNA (tRNA) molecules are approximately 80 nucleotides in length. Their secondary structure includes four short double-helical elements and three loops (D, anti-codon, and T loops). Further hydrogen bonds mediate the characteristic L-shaped molecular structure. tRNAs have two regions of fundamental functional importance: the anti-codon, which is responsible for specific mRNA codon recognition, and the 3' end, to which the tRNAs corresponding amino acid is attached (by aminoacyl-tRNA synthetases). tRNAs cope with the degeneracy of the genetic code in two manners: having more than one tRNA (with a specific anti-codon) for a particular amino acid; and 'wobble' base-pairing, i.e. permitting non-standard base-pairing at the 3rd anti-codon position.
Source: Rfam by way of RNAcentral
GGGCUUGUAGCUCAGUGGUAGUAGCGCUCGCUUUGCAUUGAUAAACGUGCAGAUUUUCAGAUCAAACAUGCGAGAGGUCCGGGGUUCAAUCCCCCGUGAGUCCA